UCAUCCAAGAGCGCUGCAAUCAUCAUCACCACUGAAGCGGGCAGCAGUGGGAGCCUAAAUGCAGCAAAACCUCAACAGUUCAUGACCUGCAAUGGGAGCCUUGCCUCUUCAGCUGUCUCCUUCAUUCCCUCACCGACUGCCAUGAGUCCAGAAGACAUCAGCUUUAACAGUGACCUCUUAGGGGAGCUGAUGAGUUCACCUCUCAACCAGUUGAGCCUCCAGCCAUCUUCAGUUGCUCAGCUCUCCACAAACAUUAAAAAAGAGCGUCGAUGCUCGACUCCCGCUCCUUGUCAAUACUCUUUAAAGUCUGCCUCUCUGCAAAGACACUCCUCAGUAUCUUCAGGUGUCCCGGCCACUACGAGCACAGCUCCUGUACUGAGUGUUGAUAAAGACAGAUUGCUGCAGGAGAAAGAUAAGCAGAUAGAGGCGCUGACCAGGAUGUUGUGGCAGAAACAGAGAUUGGUGGAGGUGCUAAAAAUGCAGCUGGAAAAUGGAGACAGAGGAAAGGCUCCAGAGCCAAUCAGUCCUCUCGGGGUAAAAGAAGAACCUCUCGAUGAGCCCGAUGUUGCCUUCUCAAUGGACUUUGAUCGAUUUCCCUCUCAAAAAUCACCUAUUUCACAAGAGAUGGAUAUUACCAAGGUAAUUGUGAAACAGGAAGUAAUCGAGGAAGAAGAAGUUAAACCUGAGAAAACUUUCCAGUCCCCAGUCACUCAUGGAUUGCUGCAGUCCUCAACCCAAACACAGGAGGAGCAGCUGGCUCAACAACACACCAUACAGAAAGUCCUGCUGCAGCAGCAGCAGCACAACAUCCAGAACCAGAAUCAGACGCUGGAGAAUCAACAUGACCUGCAGAAACUUUGUCAGCAGAGAAAGAAAAAAUCUCAAAACCAGCAAAAGCAGCUGCUGCUGCAGUCACAACAGCAGCCAUCUAAGGUGCCUCAAGCAUACCUGAAACAGCAGUCAGGCUCAAGUGCCUCUUUCUCACUGGACCACCUUAAGAUUGACUCCACCCCAACCCUGGUCACUGACACCAACGGUAACCAUUUUCUGAUCGCGCUGACCAAUCACCCUGACUGGAAACAAAAUAAAGGCCCCUGCUGA
RNAcentral lists this long non-coding RNA (1101 nucleotides) under Oreochromis niloticus (Nile tilapia). Its description in RNAcentral is "lncRNA (ENSONIG00000042581.1)". Lineage: Eukaryota; Metazoa; Chordata; Actinopteri; Cichliformes; Cichlidae. The record is from RNAcentral.